CCCUUAGAUGUCCUGGGCCGCACGCGCGCUACACUGAUGCAUUCAACGAGUUUUACCUUGGCCGAGAGGCCUGGGCAAUCUUUUAAACCUGCAUCGUGAUAGGGAUAGAUUAUUGCAAUUAUUAAUCUUGAACGAGGAAUUCCUAGUAAACGCAGAUCAUCAAUCUGCAUUGAUUACGUCCCUGCCCUUUGUACACACCACCCGUCGCACCUACCGAUUGAAUGGUCCGGUGAAGCCUCGGGAUUGUGGCCAGUUCACUUUAUUGGGAGUUGGCUGCGAGAACUUGUCUAAACCUUAUCAUUUAGAGGAAGGUGAAGUCGUAACA
This 325-nucleotide ribosomal RNA is filed under the name uncultured eukaryote. Its description in RNAcentral is "partial 18S ribosomal RNA". It matches the Rfam family "Eukaryotic small subunit ribosomal RNA", at positions 1470 to 1796 of the family's 1831-position model. The record is from RNAcentral.